This 460-nucleotide ribosomal RNA is filed under the name uncultured bacterium. RNAcentral describes it as "partial 16S ribosomal RNA". It matches the Rfam family "Bacterial small subunit ribosomal RNA", at positions 338 to 795 of the family's 1533-position model. The record is from RNAcentral.
CCUACGGGGGGCAGCAGUGAGGAAUAUUGGUCAAUGGACGAGAGUCUGAACCAGCCAAGUAGCGUGAAGGAUGACUGCCCUAUGGGUUGUAAACUUCUUUUAUAUGGGAAUAAAAUGUUCCACGUGUGGGAUUUUGUAUGUACCAUAUGAAUAAGGAUCGGCUAGCUCCGUGCCAGCAGCCGCGGUAAUACGGAGGAUCCGAGCGUUAUCCGGAUUUAUUGGGUUUAAAGGGAGCGUAGGUGGAGUGUUAAGUCAGUUGUGAAAGUUUGCGGCUCAACCGUAAAAUUGCAGUUGAAACUGGCAGUCUUGAGUACAGUAGAGGUGGGCGGAAUUCGUGGUGUAGCGGUGAAAUGCUUAGAUAUCACGAAGAACUCCGAUUGCGAAGGCAGUUCACUGGACUGCAACUGACACUGAGGCUCGAAAGUGUGGGUAUCAAACAGGAUUAGAUACCCCUGUAGUC